UACGUAGGGUGCGAGCGUUGUCCGGAAUUACUGGGCGUAAAGAGCUCGUAGGUGGUUUGUCGCGUUGUCCGUGAAAACUCACAACUCAAUUGUGGGCGUGCGGGCGAUACGGGCAGACUGGAGUACUGCAGGGGAGACUGGAAUUCCUGGUGUAGCGGUGAAAUGCGCAGAUAUCAGGAGGAACACCGGUGGCGAAGGCGGGUCUCUGGGCCGAUACUGACGCUGAGGAGCGAAAGCGUGGGGAGCAAACAGG
RNAcentral lists this ribosomal RNA (253 nucleotides) under uncultured bacterium. RNAcentral's name for it is "partial 16S ribosomal RNA". It matches the Rfam family "Bacterial small subunit ribosomal RNA", at positions 524 to 776 of the family's 1533-position model. The record is from RNAcentral.